CCCCGGUAAACGGCGGCCGUAACUAUAACGGUCCUAAGGUAGCGAAAUUCCUUGUCGGGUAAGUUCCGACCUGCACGAAUGGCGUAAUGAUGGCCAGGCUGUCUCCACCCGAGACUCAGUGAAAUUGAACUCGCUGUGAAGAUGCAGUGUACCCGCGGCAAGACGGAAAGACCCCGUGAACCUUUACUAUAGCUUGACACUGAACAUUGAGCCUUGAUGUGUAGGAUAGGUGGGAGGCUUUGAAGUGUGGACGCCAGUCUGCAUGGAGCCGACCUUGAAAUACCACCCUUUAAUGUUUGAUGUUCUAACGUGGACCCGUAAUCCGGGUUGCGGACAGUGUCUGGUGGGUAGUUUGACUGGGGCGGUCUCCUCCUAAAGAGUAACGGAGGAGCACGAAGGUUGGCUAAUCCUGGUCGGACAUCAGGAGGUUAGUGCAAUGGCAUAAGCCAGCUUGACUGCGAGCGUGACGGCGCGAGCAGGUGCGAAAGCAGGUCAUAGUGAUCCGGUGGUUCUGAAUGGAAGGGCCAUCGCUCAACGGAUAAAAGGUACUCCGGGGAUAACAGGCUGAUACCGCCCAAGAGUUCAUAUCGACGGCGGUGUUUGGCACCUCGAUGUCGGCUCAUCACAUCCUGGGGCUGAAGUAGGUCCCAAGGGUAUGGCUGUUCGCCAUUUAAAGUGGUACGCGAGCUGGGUUUAGAACGUCGUGAGACAGUUCGGUCCCUAUCUGCCGUGG
Molecule: ribosomal RNA, 733 nt
Filed under: Salmonella enterica
Lineage: Bacteria; Pseudomonadati; Pseudomonadota; Gammaproteobacteria; Enterobacterales; Enterobacteriaceae
Also listed under: 1 other name
Description: partial 23S ribosomal RNA
Rfam family: Bacterial large subunit ribosomal RNA
Source: RNAcentral